RNAcentral lists this ribosomal RNA (441 nucleotides) under uncultured bacterium. Its description in RNAcentral is "partial 16S ribosomal RNA". It matches the Rfam family "Bacterial small subunit ribosomal RNA", at positions 338 to 795 of the family's 1533-position model. The record is from RNAcentral.
CCUACGGGAGACAGCAGUGGGGGAUAUUGCACAAUGGGGGGAACCCUGAUGCAGCGACGCCGCGUGGGUGAAGGAGUGCUUCGGCAUGUAAAGCCCUAUCGGCAGGGAAGAAGCAAGACGGUACCUGACUAAGAAGCCCCGGCUCACUACGUGCCAGCAGCCGCGGUAAUACGUAGGGGGCGAGCGUUAUCCGGAUGCACUGGGUGUAAAGGGAGCGUAGACGGCCAUGCAAGCCAGGGGUGAAAGCCCGGGGCCCAACCCCGGGACUGCCCUUGGAACUGUGCGGCUAGAGUGCGGGAGGGGCAGGCGGAAUUCCUGGUGUAGCGGUGAAAUGCGUAGAUAUCAGGAGGAACACCGGCGGCGAAGGCGGCCUGCUGGACCGCGACUGACGUUGAGGCUCGAAAGCGUGGGGAGCGAACAGGAUUAGAUACCCUUGUAGUC